Molecule: ribosomal RNA, 429 nt
Filed under: Bacillota bacterium
Lineage: Bacteria; Bacillati; Bacillota
Description: Firmicutes bacterium partial 16S ribosomal RNA
Rfam family: Bacterial small subunit ribosomal RNA
Source: RNAcentral
UAGGGAAUCUUCCGCAAUGGACGAAAGUCUGACGGAGCAACGCCGCGUGAGUGAUGAAGGUUUUCGGCUCGUAAAACUCUGUUGUUAGGGAAGAACAAGUUGGGUAGUAACUGACCCAACCUUGACGGUACCUAACCAGAAAGCCACGGCUAACUACGUGCCAGCAGCCGCGGUAAUACGUAGGUGGCAAGCGUUGUCCGGAAUUAUUGGGCGUAAAGCGCUCGCAGGCGGUCUUUUAAGUCUGAUGUGAAAGCCCACGGCUUAACCGUUGAGGGUCAUUUGGAACUGGAGGACUUGAGUACAGAACAGGAGAGUGGAAGUCCACGUGUAGCGGUGAGAUGCGUAGAGAUGUGGAGGAACACCAGUGGCGAAGGCGACUCUCUGGUCUGUAACUGACGCAGAGGAGCGAAAGCGUGGGUAGCGAACAGG